Schizosaccharomyces pombe (fission yeast) is the source of this 955-nucleotide non-coding RNA. NCBI's taxonomy places the organism in Eukaryota, Fungi, Ascomycota, Schizosaccharomycetes, Schizosaccharomycetales, Schizosaccharomycetaceae. The record is from the annotation of a GenBank genome assembly.
UACUUUUCGUAUUACCGCGCAAUCAAGUUGCCCACAACGGGACUGCAGCAUUGCAGUAGAAACCCCAUCAAACGUGUAAGUGAAAUGAGCGAACAAUAACCCUGAAAUUAUAAAGUCGUAUUAUCUUGUUUAAAUCAACUCAUACCUUUUUCAUAUAAGAAUAUCGUAUUGUUUCAGGAUAACAGAAACAAUUUCAGGGAAACUUGAAAGGUUUAUGAUAAACGCAGUAUGCAAUUUUAGAACAACGAGAAUUAAAAAACUUUACAUUUAAGCCAAGAAGUAUUAAGUUUAAAAUACACAAGUUGAAGGAGCAAUUAAUCAGCACAAUGUAAUUUGAUCUUUUUUGUUCGUAAAAUUACCGUUUGCGGUAAUCACCAAUCUGUGAUGACAACGCCGAAAAGCAGCUUACAUAAUAACACACACUUUUCAGCUCACUGUACUCCUUUGUAGUCAAUGUAAUAUAAUGGAAUUUCGCCGCCUCCUACGGAUAUUCAAGCAUAUCGCAUAUGCCAUCGAAAACUAAAGAAAAACGCCUUCUUCUUGAAGCUUCCUGCAUAGAGUGAUAAAAAACCUUCUAAAACUUCUUUGCCCCUAAAGUAAGCCUCUUGUUUCUGUCAAGCUUCCUCAAUUAUUGCACUCAUUGUUUUAACUGUAAUCUUUCACGCUUAUGUUUGAUACUUGGUAUCUUGUUUUCGAAAGAAAAACUUAUUGUAACAUACUUUAAGACAGCAAUUCCUCAUUCAGUGAGUAAAAACGCGUUUUCUACCGAAUUCCUAUUGACACUGGGCAUUUGUUUGGCAUUUGUUUUUGGAAGCCUAAUCAUACGUGUAAGAAGUAUUUUUACGAUAUUGUAAAAGAAUAAGAGAGGUGUAGUGAUGUUUCUGUUAGAUAUCCAUAAAUCUCAGUAUAGUCCGUCAUAUAUUCGGCUGACCAACCAACCUUCCCAACUUUCCUU